UAACACCGGCUUCCGUACAAUCUCCAAAGUUAAACAACAUCGAGCCUUGUCUGUAGCUAGACGGGUGACCGCUUGGGAAUACCAGGUACUGUAAG
This is a non-coding RNA of Acanthosepion pharaonis, 95 nucleotides long. The record is from the annotation of a GenBank genome assembly. NCBI's taxonomy places the organism in Eukaryota, Metazoa, Mollusca, Cephalopoda, Sepiida, Sepiidae.